RNAcentral lists this ribosomal RNA (429 nucleotides) under Chloroflexota bacterium. RNAcentral describes it as "Chloroflexi bacterium partial 16S ribosomal RNA". It matches the Rfam family "Bacterial small subunit ribosomal RNA", at positions 355 to 776 of the family's 1533-position model. The record is from RNAcentral. Lineage: Bacteria; Bacillati; Chloroflexota.
UGGGGAAUAUUGCACAAUGGGCGCAAGCCUGAUGCAGCCAUGCCGCGUGUAUGAAGAAGGCCUUCGGGUUGUAAAGUACUUUCAGUCGGGAGGAAGGUGGUAAGGUUAAUAACCUUAUCAAUUGACGUUACCGACAGAAGAAGCACCGGCUAACUCCGUGCCAGCAGCCGCGGUAAUACGGAGGGUGCAAGCGUUAAUCGGAAUUACUGGGCGUAAAGCGCACGCAGGCGGUUGAUUGAGUCAGAUGUGAAAUCCCCGGGCUUAACCCGGGAAUUGCAUCUGAUACUGGUCAGCUAGAGUCUUGUAGAGGAGGGUAGAAUUCCAUGUGUAGCGGUGAAAUGCGUAGAGAUGUGGAGGAAUACCGGUGGCGAAGGCGGCCCCCUGGACAAAGACUGACGCUCAGGUGCGAAAGCGUGGGGAGCAAACAGG